AGGAGCCGUAUGAGGUGAAAAUCUCACGUACGGUUCUGGAACAGAGAUUCUUUCAAUUGAAUGACGAUUAUUUUAGUAAAAUUCAAUUCUUUCAAUUUCCGGAC
Nicotiana sylvestris (wood tobacco) is the source of this 104-nucleotide non-coding RNA. The record is from Rfam. NCBI's taxonomy places the organism in Eukaryota, Viridiplantae, Streptophyta, Magnoliopsida, Solanales, Solanaceae.